GGGGCCGCACGGGCGCGGAGGGCGGGCGCGGGCCAGCUGGGCCCGGAACGUGCGCCGCCGGGGCCGAGGAGGGGACUGGCCGAGCUGGUGGAGGAGAGCAGGAAAACGUGGGGGAGGUGCUGGCGAGAGAAAGAGAACUUGCGUGAGGAGGAGGAGGAGAAACCAAAUUUAACAUUUGGCGUGGAAAUGGGAUUUUUUUUUUUUUUUUUUUUGCAUCCUCCAAGCAAGUAAAGUGAAAUCAAUCAACAUUAUCCUCCCUCCCUUCGGCAAGUGAGGAUUACUUUCUCCUUGGGUAAAGGAAGAGAACUGAAGCAGGGAGGACAGCAAGAAUGAGGGACAGGAAACAGAGAGGCAGAGAGUGGAAUGAUGCAGCUACAAGCCAAGGAAUGCCAAGGAGUGACAGCCACCACCAGAAGCUAGGA
Long non-coding RNA from Eubalaena glacialis (North Atlantic right whale), 422 nucleotides. RefSeq lists it as uncharacterized. The record is from RefSeq and is a predicted model, not a curated record. The transcript is spliced from 3 exons. NCBI's taxonomy places the organism in Eukaryota, Metazoa, Chordata, Mammalia, Artiodactyla, Balaenidae.